Molecule: ribosomal RNA, 910 nt
Filed under: uncultured bacterium
Lineage: Bacteria
Description: bacterial SSU rRNA
Rfam family: Bacterial small subunit ribosomal RNA
Source: RNAcentral
AUGCUGGCGGCGUGCCUAACACAUGCAAGUCGAGCGGCAGCGAGUUUUACACUGAAUUCUGGAAGCUUCUGGGUAAUAUAGAAGAUUUAUUCAAGAAUUUUGUGUAAAAUGUCGGCGAGCGGCGGACGGCUGAGUAACGCGUAGGAAUUUGCCCCAAAGUGAGGAAUAACUGCCCGAAAGGGUAGCUAAUGCCGCAUAUGGUCUUCGGAUUAAAGCCUUCGGGCGCUUUGGGAGAAGCCUGCGUUGGAUUAGGUAGUUGGUAGGGUAAUGGCCUACCAAGCCGACGAUCCAUAGCUGGUCUGAGAGGAUGAUCAGCCAGACUGGAACUGAGACACGGUCCAGACUCCUACGGGAGGCAGCAGUGAGGAAUCUUCCACAAUGGGCGAAAGCCUGAUGGAGCAACGCCGCGUGAAGGAUGAAGGCCUUCGGGUUGUAAACUUCUUUUAUGAGUGAAGAAUAUGACGGUAACUCAUGAAUAAGCACCGGCUAACUACGUGCCAGCAGCCGCGGUCAUACGUAGGGUGCAAGCAUUAUCCGGAGUGACUGGGCGUAAAGAGUUGCGUAGGCGGUUUAAUAAGUGAAUAGUGAAACCUGGUGGCUCAACCAUACAGACUAUUAUUCAAACUGUUAAACUCGAGAAUGGUAGAGGUAACUGGAAUUUCUAGUGUAGGAGUGAAAUCCGUAGAUAUUAGAAGGAACACCGAUGGCGUAGGCAGGUUACUGGGCCAUUUCUGACGCUAAGGCACGAAAGCGUGGGGAGCGAACCCGAUUAGAUACCCGGGUAGUCCACGCCGUAAACGAUGGAUACUAGCUGUUGGAGGUAUCGACCCCUUCACUAGCGAAGCUAACGCGUUAAGUAUCCCGCCUGUGGAGUACGGCCGCAAGGCUAAAACAUAAAGGAAUUGACGGG